RNA transcript from Ostrinia nubilalis (European corn borer), 2039 nucleotides. RefSeq lists it as uncharacterized. The record is from RefSeq and is a predicted model, not a curated record. The transcript has 2 exons. Lineage: Eukaryota; Metazoa; Arthropoda; Insecta; Lepidoptera; Crambidae.
GUAUAAUAUUAAAGCAAUGCAUGCAAUGCUUAGGCAGCAUAGAAUUUCAUAUUAUAAAGGUAUUUAAAAAUCGAUGAAUGACAAAGAUCAGCAUGUAAUACCAGAAAUUACUACGUGACCUAGGCUUAGAUUAAAAGAAAAUUGAUCCCCGAAUGUGUAAUAAUUGCGCAGGUAAAAACUGAUACUGUAGAUAACGCGUAUUGUUUACGAUGAUUAAGAAAUUAGAAGACUCUGAAAAUGUUUUUGCCGAUAACGCACCUACGUAUAUUGGCAAAAUUUCAUCAUCAUCAUCAUCAUCGUAAAAGAGAAGAUAUAAAUAUCGGCAAUAUUCGGCUCGUACAGCUACGACCCAAUCAAGCAAGUGUUCGAACCGAAGAAAGAGAGCCACGACCGACCUCAGAUCGUGAACAGCUCGUACGUGCUAUCGACGGCAGUCGGGAUCACCGACGACCACCACCAUCACCACAACACCAGCGAUGCCAUCUACAGGCACCACGUCACCAUCGUCACUCCACGUCCUACGCAGUGGUGGGCGCGGAAACUUCCCAAAAACAUAACCAAUAUACGUGGCGGCGGCACACACUGAUUAAAAAGCAAACUGUUUGAUUUUUUUUGUUCUUGUCGAUUGGCAACAAAACAGCCAUACUGAAAUACUAAAAAAUAAAAAAGCAGCGCGUAAUGGUUAGAUAUUAUAGGUGUAAAAUCUAUCUAUAUAAAUAAAAAUGAAUUGAUGUUCGUUAGUCUGAUUAAAACUCGAGAACGGCUGGGCCGAUUGAGCUGAUUUUGGUUUUAAAAUCUUUGUCGUAGUCCAGGGUAGGUCUAAACGGUGAGCAAAUACGCGCGCGAUAUUGUUUUUCUGUGACAGACAAAAUUCCACGCGGGCGAAGCCGCGGGCGGAAAGCUAGUUAAAAAUAAAGAUCAGCCUAAAAACGUGCACUAACCCCUAUGGUAACACAUAACAGAAAUUUUGUUGCAUAUGGGUUACUUAAAAAUUAGGGAUUGAUGGUGAAAACGGGCAUUAGACACUUUAAUCUAAUACCUAGGCACUUUAUAGAUUACAACACGAUACAGUAGGUACUUCUUCGUUUCGACUUCGAAUCGUCUGCGUAUUCGAAGAUAUUCGAUACCCAGCGUUCGAAUUCAACGAUAACGUACCUAACGAUCUCAAUCGUUCUUAGAUCGUAUCUUCUGUAAUUCCAGCUUACAUGUAAUGGAGUCACAAAUCACCUUUCAAACUUUAUGAUGGAAAUAGAAGCAACUGGACUAUUGCUAGGGCACCUUUAUGACGUAAUACCACGCAUGUGACUACAAGGGCGGAAGCGAGUAAACUAAAUUUAUGACGGUCACCGUGUCAAUCUUAAUUCUACAUUGGCGCCUGUUACGUGACAUUUCAGCUGCUGGGGAAUUGAUAACAAGUAUUAUUUAAUUACCAAACUAGACAAUUUGCGAUGAAUAAACCUGUGCACAAGAACACAUUCAGGUUUGUGAUUGGUCUAAAUACUUAUUAAAUUCUAUUGUGCAUAACUUGGAUUGAGGAUUCGGUAAUUGGUUUCAAAAGGCGCUUUUACACUGCGCGGAAAUUAGCCAAGUCAAGUCAAAUAAUCAGUGGGGUGGGGAUGAAAAAUGAAUGAAUUUCAUCCCCACUCCACUGUUUUUUUGACUUGACUCGGCUAAUUUCCGCGCAGUGUAAAUCCGCCAAAAUGGUUUCAAUAUUUAAACCAAACCCAGAACAGAAUAUAUGAAUCGAAAUGUGUUGAUCGCCUCAACUCUUGCUGUGUGACAUAAUAUACGGAUCUAAUUCGCCCAUAAAAUUGUCCGUGAGAAUGACAGACUAAUUGACUUUAUCGUUGGACCUUCGCGACGAGUUUAUCGUGACUCGGGAGCAUGAUUGAUACAAUAUUAACUUGAUCCCUAAUAUAAAUGCUAACAAUUCCGGUUUGUCUGAAAAUGCAUUACAGUAUUAUUUUAGAAAGAGAUCGGUAAAUAUGAUGUCAUACAAUUCCUUAUUUUGUGAAUGAAUAAUAAUUAAAAAAUAACAA